Molecule: long non-coding RNA, 292 nt
Filed under: Elaeis guineensis (African oil palm)
Lineage: Eukaryota; Viridiplantae; Streptophyta; Magnoliopsida; Arecales; Arecaceae
Description: long non-coding RNA (EGUI_LNC015001)
Source: RNAcentral
GCCCCCACGCACUCCCCUUCACCACCAUUCUUGCUCACAUCCAUCCCUAAACCACCCUUGGCUCUUUCCUCUUCUAUCCUCUAGCCACAUAGUCCACCACCUCCUCACCUAUGUGGUGUGCUUUUCGUCAACAAUCUUCUCAUUCCACCACCACUACCCAUGACCAUGAUAAGCUAUUGGCCAGCCUCUCUUUUUCCCUUCCUCUUCAUCUUUCUUAUUGAGAAAAUAGUAUAGAUGAUACUAGCAAUAUUAACAAAGAAGAAGGAAAGAUGAAGGAAACACCGACUCCUUU